GUUUGAUCCUGGCUCAGAAUCAACGCUGGCGGCGCGCUUAACACAUGCAAGUCGAACGAGAAAGUGGAGCAAUCCACGAGUAAAGUGGCGUACGGGUGAGUAACACGUGGGUAAUCUACCUCCGGGUGUGGAAUAACCCUGGGAAACCGGGGCUAAUACCGCAUACGCUCGGGAGAGGAAAGGCGAAAGUCGCCUGGAGAGGAGCCCGCGGCCGAUUAGCUAGUUGGUAGGGUAAAGGCCUACCAAGGCAAAGAUCGGUAGCCGGCCUGAGAGGGCACACGGCCACACUGGCACUGAAACACGGGCCAGACUCCUACGGGAGGCAGCAGUGGGGAAUCUUGCACAAUGGGGGCAACCCUGAUGCAGCGACGCCGCGUGAGUGAUGAAGCCCUUCGGGGUGUAAAGCUCUUUCGGCAGGGACGAUAAUGACGGUACCUGAAGAAGAAGCUGCGGCUAACUACGUGCCAGCAGCCGCGGUAAUACGUAGGCAGCGAGCGUUGUUCGGAGUUACUGGGCGUAAAGCGUGCGUAGGCGGUGGUCCAAGUCUGGUGUGAAAUCUCCCGGCUCAACUGGGAGGGUGCGCCGGAAACUGGGCCGCUGGAGUGUGGGAGAGGUAAGCGGAAUUCCUGGUGUAGCGGUGAAAUGCGUAGAUAUCAGGAGGAACACCUGCGGUGUAGACGGCUUACUGGACCAUGACUGACGCUGAGGCACGAAAGCGUGGGUAGCAAACAGGAUUAGAUACCCUGGUAGUCCACGCCCUAAACAAUGCAUACUUGGUGUGGGCAGUUCAGUCUGUCCGUGCCGGAGCUAACGCGUUAAGUAUGCCGCCUGGGGAGUACGGUCGCAAGGCU
RNAcentral lists this ribosomal RNA (851 nucleotides) under uncultured bacterium. RNAcentral describes it as "bacterial SSU rRNA". It matches the Rfam family "Bacterial small subunit ribosomal RNA", at positions 11 to 895 of the family's 1533-position model. The record is from RNAcentral.